UACCUCAAAAAACCACAACAGUCUGUUUCAUCCGUAUAGGAAUCAUGAUGAUUCCUAUACGGAUGAAUGAUUCCUAUACGGAUGAAACAGACUGUUGUGGUUUUU
Molecule: non-coding RNA, 105 nt
Organism: Paramuricea clavata
Lineage: Eukaryota; Metazoa; Cnidaria; Anthozoa; Malacalcyonacea; Plexauridae
Source: the annotation of a GenBank genome assembly